AUGAACAUCAUCAGUUGGAACUGCCGGGGGCUUGGGAACACCGAGGCAGUUCGAGAGCUUCGCAGCAUGGUGAAGCAAGAAGGGCCCACCCUUCUCUUUGUUAUGGAGACGAAGAUAAGGGCAGCGAGGGUGGAAAACCUAAAGUUAAAUUUGGGUUUCGAUGGAUGCUUCGCAGUUGACAGUGUCGGUCUAAGCGGAGGCAUUGGUUUGUUU
RNAcentral lists this ribosomal RNA (213 nucleotides) under Triticum aestivum (bread wheat). RNAcentral describes it as "partial small subunit ribosomal RNA". Lineage: Eukaryota; Viridiplantae; Streptophyta; Magnoliopsida; Poales; Poaceae. The record is from RNAcentral.